This 253-nucleotide ribosomal RNA is filed under the name uncultured bacterium. RNAcentral's name for it is "partial 16S ribosomal RNA". It matches the Rfam family "Bacterial small subunit ribosomal RNA", at positions 524 to 776 of the family's 1533-position model. The record is from RNAcentral.
UACGUAGGGGGCAAGCGUUGUCCGGAAUUAUUGGGCGUAAAGAGCGCGUAGGCGGUCCGGUAAGUCGGUUGUGAAAGUCGGGGGCUCAACCCUCGGAUGCCGAUCGAUACUGUCGGGCUAGAGUCCGGAAGAGGAGAAUGGAAUUCCUGGUGUAGCGGUGAAAUGCGCAGAUAUCAGGAAGAACACCCGUGGCUAAGGCGGUUCUCUAGUACGGUACUGACGCUGAGACGCGAAAGCGUGGGGAGCGAACAGG